AUUGAACGCUGGCGGCAGGCUUAACACAUGCAAGUCGAGCGAGCGGCGGACGGGUGAGUAAUGUCUGGGAAACUGCCUGAUGGAGGGGGAUAACUACUGGAAACGGUAGCUAAUACCGCAUACCAUCAGAUGUGCCCUCAGGGGAUUGGCUAGUAGGUGGGGUAAUGGCUCACCUAGGCGACGAUCCCUAGCUGGGCUGAGAGGAUGACCAGCCAAACUGGAACGGAGACACGGGCCAGACUCCUACGGGAGGCAGCAGGGGGGAAUAGUGCACAAGGGGCGCAAGCCUGAUGCAGCCAUGCCGCGUGUGUGAAGAAGGCCUUCGGGUUGUAAAGCACUUUCAGCGAGGAGGCGGGAAUCGAAGAAGAAGCACCGGCUAACUCCGUGCCAGCAGCCGCGGUAAUUG
Molecule: ribosomal RNA, 406 nt
Filed under: uncultured bacterium
Lineage: Bacteria
Description: partial 16S ribosomal RNA
Rfam family: Bacterial small subunit ribosomal RNA
Source: RNAcentral